Molecule: non-coding RNA, 92 nt
Organism: Mycena alexandri
Lineage: Eukaryota; Fungi; Basidiomycota; Agaricomycetes; Agaricales; Mycenaceae
Source: the annotation of a GenBank genome assembly
GCACCGGUCGUGUUUGGAACACGCCGCCAUUCUGUAGAGUUUUCGCGUGAUCCGUUCUUGGCGGAGCUGGGGUUCGAUUCCCCGCUGGUGCA